This 497-nucleotide ribosomal RNA is filed under the name uncultured bacterium. RNAcentral describes it as "partial 16S ribosomal RNA". It matches the Rfam family "Bacterial small subunit ribosomal RNA", at positions 28 to 507 of the family's 1533-position model. The record is from RNAcentral.
GAUGAACGCUGGCGGCGUGCCUAAUACAUGCAAGUCGAGCGAACGGACGAGAAGCUUGCUUUUCUGAUGUUAGCGGCGGACGGGUGAGUAACACGUGGAUAACCUACCUAUAAGACUGGGAUAACUUCGGGAAACCGGAGCUAAUACCGGAUAAUAUUUUGAACCGCAUGGUUCAAAAGUGAAAGACGGUCUUGCUGUCACUUAUAGAUGGAUCCGCGCUGCAUUAGCUAGUUGGUAAGGUAACGGCUUACCAAGGCAACGAUGCAUAGCCGACCUGAGAGGGUGAUCGGCCACACUGGAACUGAGACACGGUCCAUGCUCCUACGGGAGGCAGCAGUAGGGAAUCUUCCGCAAUGGGCGAAAGCCUGACGGAGCAACGCCGCGUGAGUGAUGAAGGUCUUCGGAUCGUAAAACUCUGUUAUUAGGGAAGAACAUAUGUGUAAGUAACUGUGCACAUCUUGACGGUACCUAAUCAGAAAGCCACGGCUAACUACGUG